Molecule: long non-coding RNA, 764 nt
Filed under: Cricetulus griseus (Chinese hamster)
Lineage: Eukaryota; Metazoa; Chordata; Mammalia; Rodentia; Cricetidae
Description: lncRNA (ENSCGRG00015039342.1)
Source: RNAcentral
CAGAAAAGGAGGAAACUGCAGGUCCCAAGAUAUGCAGUAGAUGAGGCUGAGUGUCCUGAACCAAUGGGAUGGGACUUCAGGGCCAGUCGGUGCUAGACACUGGGGAGAUCGUAUCUCCAAAGAGCUCAGCCAGUGAGAACACAACAGGACAGAGAAAGCAGUUUGGGAUAUAAGAAAAAUCUGUUUGGGGCCAAAUCCCUGCACCAGCCACCUUUGCCCUUUCUCUGGGCCAACACCGGAGUUUACAAGCUUUCCUGUCCCCGAGUGGAGGAAAAUUGCAGCUCUCUCCAUGGUGAACGGAGAUGACAGAGAAUCACUGGGAAGUCUCAGGGACUGUCUGCCAUGCGGUCUCACCUAAGGCAAUCCACAAAUGGAGAGACUAGGAUGCUUCAUCUUUUCGUUUGUUUGAUGCUCAGUCUUGAUUGCUGACUCUAUGGGAUUAGAAUCACCAUAGAAACAGGUUUGAAGAUGGAUGGCAAAUCAUCUACUCCACCCUUAAUGGCCUGUGCUGUGGAAGAUACUGCUAACUCAGCACAGCCAUGCUUCCUACAACUCAUAAUGUCCAUCAAGGUCACAAAGCUGGUCCAGUAUCAUGUUGCCAGGAGUGGUCGUCACCAAAUCCCGGCUCUAGUGAUCUGUCCGAGGACUUGGCAGAAGAGCUAUCCUUGUCAUCAUAUUUCCAUAUUGAAGUCCAAAUGACUCUGCUAUUGAUUAUUAAAUAGCACCACGUGCUGUAUUUUAAAACAAAACUAAUGUAAAAACAA